This 497-nucleotide ribosomal RNA is filed under the name uncultured bacterium. RNAcentral describes it as "partial 16S ribosomal RNA". It matches the Rfam family "Bacterial small subunit ribosomal RNA", at positions 28 to 507 of the family's 1533-position model. The record is from RNAcentral.
GAUGAACGCUGGCGGCGUGCCUAAUACAUGCAAGUCGAGCGAACAGAUGAGGAGCUUGCUCCUCUGACGUUAGCGGCGGACGGGUGAGUAACACGUGUAUAACCUACUUAUAAGACUGGGAUAACUUCGGGAAACCGGAGCUAAUACCGUAGAAUAUAUUGAACCGCGUGGUUCGAUAGUGAAAUACGGUUGUGCUGGCACUUAUAGAUGCAUCCGCGCCGCAUUAGCUAGUUGGUAAGUUACCGGCCUACCAAGGCAACUAGGCGUAGCCGACGUGAGAGGGUGGUCGCCCACACUGGAGGGUGGCCACGGACAAGACUCCUGCGGGAGGCACCAGUCGGGAACCUUAGGCAAUGGGGGAAAGCCUGACGGAGCAACGCCAAGUGAGUGACGAAGGUCUUGGGUUCGUAAAACUCUGUUACUAGGGAAGAACAGCUGUCGAAGUAACUGUGCACGUCUUGACGGUAACUAAUCAGAAAGCACCGGCUAACUACGUG